GGAACCGGCGCUCUGCGUGAUCACGGCCAGAGGACCUGAGGGCAAUGGCAGCUGCGUCCGCGAUCUCUCCCUCGAGGGGUUCGGCUCGUCGCUCCUUGCUUGUCUAUGACAGGCAGGUGGAGGGCGUGGUCUGUCCCAGGAAUGCCAGCGGGACAGGACGAUGGCGGGGAGCUCUGACCUCUUCAGAAACAAGGAUGGCUGCUUCCCUAUCUUGGCUGAUUGGCCAUUCUGACUGAUGGGAGGUGAUAUCUCAUUGUGGUUUUGAUUUGCAUUUCCCUGAUGAUUAUCGAUGUAGAGCAUCUUAGCAAUCAAACUGCCCAUCAAUAAAUGAAUGGAUAAAGAAGAUGUGGUACAUAUACACAAUGGAAUAUUAUUUGGCCAUAAAAAAGAAGUCCUACCAUUUGCAACAACAUGGAUGGAUCUAGAGGGUAUUAUGCUGAGUGAAAUAAACCAGGUGGAGAAAGACAAAUACCAUAUGAUUUCACUUACUUGUGGAAUCUAAAAGAAAA
Molecule: long non-coding RNA, 509 nt
Organism: Manis javanica (Malayan pangolin)
Lineage: Eukaryota; Metazoa; Chordata; Mammalia; Pholidota; Manidae
Source: RefSeq, a predicted model, not a curated record